GACGAACGCUGGCGGCGUGCCUAACACAUGCAAGUCGAGCGAGUGAAUCUCCUUCGGGAGUGAAACUAGCGGCGGACGGGUGAGUAACACGUGGGCAACCUGCCUCAUAGAGGGGAAUAGCCUUUCGAAAGGAAGAUUAAUACCGCAUAAGAUUGUAGCUUCGCAUGAAGUAGCAAUUAAAGGAGCAAUCCGCUAUGAGAUGGGCCCCGCGGCGCAUUAGCUAGUUGGUGAGGUAACGGCUCACCAAGGCGACGAUGCGUAGCCGACCUGAGAGGGUGAUCGGCCACAUUGGGACUGAGACACGGCCCAGACUCCUACGGGAGGCAGCAGUGGGGGAUAUUGCACAAUGGGGGAAACCCUGAUGCAGCAACGCCGCGUGAGUGAUGAC
This 388-nucleotide ribosomal RNA is filed under the name uncultured bacterium. RNAcentral's name for it is "bacterial SSU rRNA". It matches the Rfam family "Bacterial small subunit ribosomal RNA", at positions 28 to 412 of the family's 1533-position model. The record is from RNAcentral.